Molecule: ribosomal RNA, 502 nt
Filed under: uncultured bacterium
Lineage: Bacteria
Description: partial 16S ribosomal RNA
Rfam family: Bacterial small subunit ribosomal RNA
Source: RNAcentral
AUUGAACGCUGGCGGCAGGCUUAACACAUGCAAGUCGAGCGGGGUGAUGGUGCUUGCACUAUCACUUAGCGGCGGACGGGUGAGUAAUGCUUAGGAAUCUGCCUAUUAGUGGGGGACAACAUCUCGAAAGGGAUGCUAAUACCGCAUACGUCCUACGGGAGAAAGCAGGGGAUCACUUGUGACCUUGCGCUAAUAGAUGAGCCUAAGUCGGAUUAGCUAGUUGGUGGGGUAAAGGCCUACCAAGGCGACGAUCUGUAGCGGGUCUGAGAGGGUGAUCCGCCACACUGGGACUGAGACGCGGCCCAGACUCCUACGGGAGUCAGCAGUGGGGAAUAUUGGACAAUGGGGGGAACCCUGAUCCAGCCAUGCCGCGUGUGUGAAGAAGGCCUUAUGGUUGUAAAGUACUUUCAGCGGGGAGGAAGGCGAUGCGGUUAAUAACCGUGUCGAUUGACGUUACCCGCAGAAGAAGCACCGGCUAACACCGUGCCAGCCGCCGCCGUAA